AAAACAAAAAGCAUUUAGACAAUGAUUUACUUUUUAUUUUUUCCCUCUAGAAGAAUCCAAAGAUGCACCAUCUUUAAAGAAAGAUAAAGAGGAAUCCAAAAGUGUGCCACCAGCUUCAAAGAAAGAUAAAGAAGAAUCCAAAGAUGUCCCAGCUUCAAAGAAAGAUAGAGAAGAAUCCAAAGAUGUUCCAGCUUCAAAGAAAGAUAAAGAAGUAACUGAUGAUGUAGCUUCACCAAAGAAGCAAAAAAGCCCCAUCAGUUUCUUUCAGUGUGUCUACUUGGAUGGGUACAAUGGCUAUGGAUUUCAGUUUCCUGUCACUCCUGCCCAACGCCCCGGAGAGAACUCUGGCAAACCAAACUCUCCAGGACAGAAGCAGCAAGGACAAUAGUCACACGUGCAUGACCCUGACAAUUGCUUUAACAUGGUAGAAAUGGAAUCUUCCCUUUUGUCCACAGUGGUACAGGCAAUUGAAACUAUCCAACACUGAGAUUUCUUUGUAAGCAUUCUAGUCUUCUGCCUGGCAUAAGAAAAUGGCAUGGACAAAAAGAGCUGACUAAUAAGCAAAUGUGUUAGAGGGUCUAAUGCUUGAGAAUCCAUCUAUGUGUCUGUUGUUGCGGGAGGGGUACUUACAUUUAGUGUUUCUAUUCCUGGUGAGGUUGUGUGCUCAUUGAAGUUUACUUUCUAUUGAUCUUUUCAAUGUAAUUGGCACAAUUACAAAAUGAAAUUUGUGGCUUUGGGUAGACAAUUUUUAAACUGGUAAUAUAGACAGUGCUCUAAUUUUAAAUGGUACAGGCACAUAUAUAAAAGUUACUCUUCUGCAUUGUGUGGGUAAACUCAGUUUACCCAAAGACCUGUGUGCGUCA
Molecule: long non-coding RNA, 863 nt
Organism: Acomys russatus (golden spiny mouse)
Lineage: Eukaryota; Metazoa; Chordata; Mammalia; Rodentia; Muridae
Exons: 6
Source: RefSeq, a predicted model, not a curated record